This 253-nucleotide ribosomal RNA is filed under the name uncultured bacterium. RNAcentral describes it as "partial 16S ribosomal RNA". It matches the Rfam family "Bacterial small subunit ribosomal RNA", at positions 524 to 776 of the family's 1533-position model. The record is from RNAcentral.
UACGAAGGGGGCUAGCGUUGCUCGGAAUCACUGGGCGUAAAGCGCACGUAGGCGGCUUCUUAAGUCAGGGGUGAAAUCCUGGGGCUCAACCCCAGAACUGCCCUUGAUACUGAGGAUCUUGAGUCCGGGAGAGGUGGGUGGAACUCCGAGUGUAGAGGUGAAAUUCGUAGAUAUUCGGAAGAACACCAGUGGCGAAGGCGGCCAACUGGUCCGGUACUGACGCUGAGGUGCGAAAGCGUGGGGAGCAAACAGG